UUGAACGCUGGCGGCAGGCCUAACACAUGCAAGUCGAGCGCGAAAGGUUGUCGGACUGAGUAAAGCGGCGGACGGGUGAGUAACGCGUGGGAAUCUGCCCAGUAGUGGGGGACAACAGUCGGAAACGACUGCUAAUACCGCAUACGCCCUACGGGGGAACGGGGGGGGUCUUCGGACCUCCCGAUAUCGGAUGAGCCCGCGUCGGGUUAGCUAGUUGGUAGGGUAAAGGCCUACCAAGGCUACGAUCCGUAACUGGUCUGAGAGGAUGAUCAGUCACACUGGAACUGAGACACGGUCCAGACUCCUACGGGAGGCAGCAGUGGGGAAUAUUGGACAAUGGGGGCAACCCUGAUCCAGCCAUGCCGCGUGUGUGAAGAAGGCCUUAGGGUUGUAAAGCACUUUCAGUGGGGAGAAAGGUUUGUCACCUAAUACGUGAUGAAAUUGAUGUUACCCACAGAAGAAGCACCGGCUAACUCCGUGCCAGCAGCCGCGGUAA
This 496-nucleotide ribosomal RNA is filed under the name uncultured bacterium. Its description in RNAcentral is "partial 16S ribosomal RNA". It matches the Rfam family "Bacterial small subunit ribosomal RNA", at positions 30 to 523 of the family's 1533-position model. The record is from RNAcentral.